GUGGGGAAUUUUCCGCAAUGGGCGAAAGCCUGACGGAGCAAUACCGCGUGAGGGAGGAAGGCUCUUGGGUUGUAAACCUCUUUUCUCAGGGAAGAAAAAAUGACGGUACCUGAGGAAUAAGCAUCGGCUAACUCCGUGCCAGCAGCCGCGGUAAUACGGAGGAUGCAAGCGUUAUCCGGAAUGAUUGGGCGUAAAGCGUCCGCAGGUGGUUUUGUAUGUCUGCUGUUAAAGCGUGCGGCUUAACCGCAUAAGGGCGGUGGAAACUACAAGACUAGAGUACGUUCGGGGCAGAGGGAAUUCCCAGUGUAGCGGUGAAAUGCGUAGAGAUUGGGAAGAACAUCGGUGGCGAAGGCGCUCUGCUAGGCCUGUACUGACACUGAGGGACGAAAGCUAGGGGAGCGAAUGGGAUUAGAUACCCCAGUAGUCCUAGCCGUAAACGAUGGAUACUAGGCGUUGUCUGUAUCGACCCGGACAGUGCCGUAGCUAACGCGUUAAGUAUCCCGCCUGGGGAGUACGCAGGCAACUG
Molecule: ribosomal RNA, 526 nt
Filed under: uncultured cyanobacterium
Lineage: Bacteria; Bacillati; Cyanobacteriota
Description: bacterial SSU rRNA
Rfam family: Bacterial small subunit ribosomal RNA
Source: RNAcentral